GCCGAUGGUACAAAUUCUGAAAUCCAUUGGCCUGCGAAGUCCUGCUCUGUUUUGCUUUCCCGCGUUGGCUUCGAUUCUUAGGGCUCCCGUCACAGCGGAGCUGGAGUUCUUCUAUCGUCGCCACAUCUCCAAGAAAAGUAGUUGCUGGUAUAAUCGAGGAGGGAUACGUGGGCGUGACAUGGAGAUGUAGCUCUUGGCGCUUAUGAAAGCGAAUUCUAAGUUCUUGUUAUCAGAAUAGCUUAAAAGAACAGUGUGAGAUCACAUCAUCCCAAAAAAAAUAAGAUUGAGCACUGGUCAAAUCUUUAUGUCGACGUCUUCCAUGGAUUUCAUCUUUUUUGUUGGACAAAACCAGUCUUCGACACAUGCAAAUGCACGUGAGGGACUUUCGACAAAAGACCAUGUGCUGCGAUGCGACGGUGCAAAAUAAUGCCGUUUGCCACCGAAUUGCCGGUAGUGGGAGGCCAAGUGAAUUAUAUAAUAUAACACAUGCUCGGUGUUCAUAUUCGUAUCCAAAUUUUUUAUCAAAUAAUUUCUGGAUAAGGAUGUGGAUCGGGUUCCAUGCUAGAUAGAAUUAGAUGUUUCUACAUUAAAUCAAGAAAAAAGUUUAACUAUAUAUAGUAUAUUGUGUUUUCAUAUUGAUAAAAGAAUCAAUAAUAUAUCUAAAAUAGUCUUCUGAUUAUUUA
Molecule: long non-coding RNA, 683 nt
Organism: Musa acuminata AAA Group (dessert banana)
Lineage: Eukaryota; Viridiplantae; Streptophyta; Magnoliopsida; Zingiberales; Musaceae
Exons: 3
Source: RefSeq, a predicted model, not a curated record